Molecule: ribosomal RNA, 468 nt
Filed under: uncultured bacterium
Lineage: Bacteria
Description: partial 16S ribosomal RNA
Rfam family: Bacterial small subunit ribosomal RNA
Source: RNAcentral
GACGAACGCUGGCGGCGUGCUUAACACAUGCAAGUCGAACGGAAAGGCCCUGCGUUUGUGUGGUUCUCGAUUGGCGAACGGGUGAGUAACACGUGAGUAACCUGCCCUUGACUUUGGGAUAACUUCAGGAAACUGGGGCGAAUACCGGAUAGGAGCUCCUGCUCCAUGGUGGGGGUUGGAAAGUUUCGGCGGUUGGGGAUGGACUCGCGGCUUAUCAGCUGGUUGGUGAGGUAGUUGCUUACCAAGGCUUUGACGGGUAGCCGGCCUGAGAGGGUGACCGGCGACCUUGGGACUGAGAUACGGCGCAGAAUGCUACGGGAGGCAGCAGUGGGGAAUAUUGCACAGUGGGCGGAAGCCUGAUGCAGCAACGCCGCGUGCGGGAUGACGGCUUUCGGGUUGUAAACCGAUUUCGACUGUGACGAAGCGUGAGUGACGGUACUGGGUAAAGAAGCACCGGCUAACUACGUG